Molecule: long non-coding RNA, 485 nt
Organism: Saccostrea cuccullata (small rock oyster)
Lineage: Eukaryota; Metazoa; Mollusca; Bivalvia; Ostreida; Ostreidae
Exons: 3
Source: RefSeq, a predicted model, not a curated record
CAUCUACAAAGGCUGAACAGUGUCGUGAAGUUAUCGCUCAGCAGGCUUGUGUUAUAGAGGACUACAAAGAACAACUCAAUCUAUUGAGGAAUUCAGAGAUGUCAGUUCACCAGGAAUCUCAGGAAAUGGACAGAUUAAUGAGACACAGUCCCUUGGCACACAGACUGAUAUGCAGAGAGAAAAGAAUACAUGACAUUGACAAAGAAAACCAGUCUCCUUCUGAAAAAAUUCAUGUCUCCAGUUCUCAGAUUAAAGGACAUGGAGCAAAACAAAAACAGACUCUCUUCAUCAGAUUCCUUGAACGGCAUGGAGAAUGGAACGCUUUCUCCGAUAAAAAGAAAACCCGUCCUGUCAGAAGAUCUCGUACAGAAUGAUAGGAGUGUUCGGUUGUCGGAAGAUUUAACGGACGAUAGUCAGAUGGACUUGGACCAGGCUUUUGUGACAGCUCACACUAUGCAGGCGUAUGUGUCGAAAACCCUAGAGAA